GUCUCCGAUCUCCUCACAACAUUCACUGAAUGUUCUGUGGUCGUUCGAAAUUUACGACUCUUUCUACUCCUGAAUGUAGUCACCGGUGGUUCCGUGGCCACCGAGCUCCUCGGCUGAUUGGUUGGCCUAACCGCAGGUAGUUUAAGAAGCGUAUUCAACAAUUCUUCCUUCUCCUUCUGCAUCGUUUUGUUCGUUAGAUCAGUACAAUGCUGUACCAGCAAGAGGACCAAUUGCCUGACCGUUUCAUUAUUAUCAGCCUGCUUCAUCACCCUCAUCAAGUGGACGGUAAGGCGGAAGUGACGAGGCUCUCCUGAGGCAGGGAAUUGGUGGACGUGAUGGAAGAAGUUAUGGUGGUGGUGAUACUGGACCUUGUGAUUCUUCAAGGAAUUCAACAUACUCAACGCGUGCUCCCUCUCGGAGAAACGUGGACUUGGUUUGACCUUGCUCAGGGUGGUCGGAGCAGGAUACUUCAGCUUUGGUACCAGGGUCUUAGCCGAGGUGUAUGCGGGCACUGUAGGAGUGUACGGAGUGGGCUUCAACGUGGUAGCAUUACUGGUAACAUAGUUCCUGGUGAACGGUACAUAUGGGCCCAAAGUGGACAUCACUUUACCCUGUUUGUUUCUCCGUGGUUGUGCUGAUGAAAUUCUGCCGGUACUCUGGCGAAACCGUGGAGGGAUUCUUACUGGAGACUCGGUGCUGCGUUCGAAGUUGCUACCGCGAACCGAGGCUGUGGGUGAAGUUGCAAAUGGACUGCUAGUGAAUCUUUGGUAAGAAGAACUCGGAGUCGCCGUAUUCUGUCGAAAUAAAAGACGCAAGAACCCCAAGAGGCAAUUCGGUUUUUCAAUUGAGGAAAUGUUGAACGUCGGAUCGUAAUAGAGCAGCACCUUAUGAAACAUCCUGUUCACGAAUAUAUAUGUCGUACACAUACGUGGAAGACUUUCGGUCGCUGCGACGGUGACGGGAAGCCAGACUCAACGCGGCGGGAGAGAAGCGGAAGUGCAUAAGACUCCUACCGCGUUUCGGUAUCGCGGCUAUCGUGUCCUAUGAUGACCCUAAGCCGACGAGAAUCCGCCCGCGUUUAACGAUCUCAACUGUAGAAGAAAGGUCAUUUGGGGCCACUCACCGACGCCUUUACCAUCGGUGAAGAUCGUCAGAUAUCUCAGAACGGAAUCUGAUUGCCGUCCUCGUGGCAAGAGAUCUUAGAAAGCGGCGAACCGACUAGCAACCGAUAUUGAGUCAUGUCGAGACGAAUUGCGAGCCUUCCGCAAGACGAUCCCCAUCAAAAGAUGCGUUUCUCUUGCAAUCCAUCGGUAUUUAAAUUAAAUAGAAAAACUAGCCGACCAACAAUAUCCAUCAGGUAGGAAUAUUUCUGACACCGCCCCUGUAUAAUUUCAGACGAAAAUUAUCCAUUCGAAAAAAUGAUAAAUGUCGAAACAUUCAACGCCACUGUGAUUAUCCUUGAUGAGAGGAAAAAGAGACUUGUCAUUUUCCUAAUGAUAAACAAUUGACGGUUUAAGAUUGCUUUUACCGCGGUAAUCAAGGAGCAUUCGAGCCGACCACUUUCCCGGGAUAUUAAUAACCACUUUUAGCUGAAAUACAUUAGGAGUUGUAUUAAGAUUAAAGACACCCGGUAUUGUAUUUAAGAAAUAUCUCUUCAAAAAUGAUCAUUUUUAAUAUGAAUUUUAGACGGUGACGAAUAUUUUCAUAAAAAUGAAAAGAACCGAAAGUUGUCAAGAUGAAACUAGAAUUUAAUGGACUCAUCGAGUUGCGUGUCAUCAUCGCUGGAGACGGAAGCGAAACGAGCGACUUGUAGGAUUUAUUGAACGGCCGUUGAUCCGGAAGACGAGGCCACUUUCGCCGGGAGAACAGCGAACCUGUACGUACGUCGGCUUACCUACGACCUCACAGGACACUUGCCUUCUCUUCGCACAUGCGAUUGUAUAUACACUUCCACGACCUCUCUUUCAUAGCAGAGAAACGUUGAUUGUCCUCUCGUUUUCUCGCGUGAUACCGGCGAAGAAGCUAUGACAUAAGUGAAAUUACAAACACACGUGCUGCUCCCGGUACUUUCUGAACAGCCUGUUGAGAUGCUAUCGCACCAGCUGCCGCGAUUAUCCAUUACGGACGUAAUCAUAAAAUAAUGAGGAUGAUUCUUCUUAGGAUCCUUAUGAAAUAUUAUAUUCACUGGAAGAAAAAAAAAUACGUUGCGGGACUAAUUAGACUCGGAGGACUAGUGGAUCAUUGUGUCAAAACCCAUGAGGGUGGUCUUAAUUGUUACCCUUGGUCACAUGUUUUAUGGAAUUAGCGAAUAUUGCGUUAUUCGUGGAGACAUAAGAAGAUAGAAAUAAUUUUAUUAUAGAUGAAUCUUUGAAAAUUUCAAGGUCAAUUCCACCCCCUUUCUUUUGAAAUAAAAUUCUAUUUUUUCAAUUAGGAUCUCAACAUUUGAAACGGCACAAAAUGAAAAAGAGAAUUUUAAGUAUAAUAUCUUUGAAAUAUUAAUUUUUCAUUUAUCUCAGAAGUUACAGAAAAAUUAUUAUAAAGUAGAAGGGUGGUUUGUCUUCUCUGGAUGGUUACCAGAAAGAAAAUAAUCUCUCGUUUUCCCAACGAGCAUGAUAUUUUCUACGUAAUACACGGUAACAAUUCUGCUCAUUUCUCAGGAACGUAAAAUGUUACGUCUUCGAAUGCUAAUUCAUCCUAUCUUCGUCGAGUACAGUAAUACAUCUUACGUUAUUAAUCUGUAACCACGGCUUUCACCUUAGCGAACCAGCUCGAAUAAUCUAACGUAGAAAGAAAGAAAGAAAGAAAGAAAAAAUGAAUUUAGUUUGGCGGCGUGGAAACCGGAACUCGGAAGCGUGUUUUGUGGAUUUUAUAGGUUCUGGCGUGCGUGACGUUGAAGAGGCACACUAUGGAGAAGUGUGUUUCUUCUAUCGUGAGAUACAACGCAAUGUCGACCAUGGGAACUACCUUUUCUUUAUGUUUAAUUAAUCACAGUCAUAAUUAUAUUGUUCCGACGAUGUUAUAUUGUUUUAGCGUUUAAAACCGUUGUUUACGUCACCACUGGUGGUGUCACGAAAAUAGGUCAACAAUUAAACAAAAAAUGAACUUAAAUUACUAAAUCUUUGACACGUUCGCUACUUUAUUGGACGAUGCUUUUUUCUAUAGAAAUUCAUUAUACAAAAAUUAUAGCUUCCGAAUGAUUGGAAAUACGAGAAACUCAUUAUUCUGUUAAUUUUCGAUCAAUUCCUCGAGCAUUUACGUACGAAUAGGUCUGCUGUAAUGAGAGGAAAUCGUACUGCAUGCUUCGAAGUCGAUAUUGCCCUAAUUAUAAAUCGGAACUUCCGGUGGACACGAUCUUCCGCUUUAAUAAAUCCCUUUUCGGUGUUUCGAAGGAAGUAAUUUUCAUCCACUCUAUACUUUGAAAUAAUGCCAAUGAAUUAAUUUGAAUCAGAAAAAAGGAAACAAGGGUUGGUUAAUGGAUUUGAAAACUGAUUUACUCUGAUAUCGUAUAUUCUUAUAAUUCAACGAUACAUUUUUUAAAUUUUCCUACGCGUUUGAUGUUAUUAAUAUCAAUGAUGUUUGGAAAUUCCAAAAAAAUAAGAUUCUUUGUGCGUUUCGUGAUUGAGGAACAUGCCGCAUUCGUCACCGCUACGUACUUACUCAUUAUCUUAUCAAUUUCAUCAUGUACAACAUUCUCACGAUAUAUACACGUAAGAUUCGUAGUAUAAAUAUCAAUCUAAUGAAUCAAAGUUCAAUGAAACCGGAAUUAAUAACAAACGAUAAAAAAAGAGUCGAUAGAUUCAACGAAACAAUGAUUCAUUCAUAAAUUAUAAAGAAAAAGAAAAUUGAAUCAUUCUUUUCGUAUAAUCAGUAAGAAUAUUUAAAUCCACUACGAUUGUACUUAUCAAUUAUUAUCACCGUCCAAAUCAUAUAUCACCUCGGCUUACUAACAUCAACGUAAAUAACGCGCGAAACUGCCGAUACAAAUUAAAAUCCUUAUCCUAGAUUACUUAAAAAGUAAAAAAAGAAAAGAUAUUUAAGUGAUAACCAGUCGAGUUAUUGCUUACACGGUAUUACUUAUCGCUAAUUCUUAAUAUCUCCUUAAAUCCCCCGCUGUCAUAUGUACACAGAUAAUAGAAACGACAACGAUAGGAAUCAAUCAAUGAUCGAUCGAAUCGAAAAAACUUAUACGUACGUAAGUGGGUCGAAUUAUCCGAAUAAUCUCCUCUGUCAAGAAUCACUUAUGUUCGUAUUCCUUUUUCUAUUCUUUCUUUUUUUUUUUUUUUUUUUUUUUAUAAAAACGGACCAAGAAUACGACAAACGGUACACAUCACCCGUAACGCCGAAGUUCUUUUAUUCUCUACCGUGUUCACUGACCGGGGAUAUACCAGGGAGCCGGUAAACAACAACAAUAUACACCGGUGCAUUCGCGGAUGACGAUGGUGAAGAGAGAAGGGUCGCGUCGCGAACGAAACGUAGGACGAUACUGAGGUACCGUCCGUUAGGCAUGCAAACCUCAUACCGCGCAAGGAUCUCGAUCCCUCGCUUCUUUGUCCAUCGACUGUCACGGUUUAGCUAUCUCUAUUCCUCUCUUCCAUUCACCUUUCCAACUGUAUUAAACGAUCUCUGUUACUCUCACAGAUCGUUCACUACCUCGCUUCCUCGUUAAGAGUUGAUCCUCCCUCUGGUGUUAACCCGUUCCUCUUCGUCCCCUAACCCCUGUUACCCGCUUGCAUUGCCCUCUGUCAGGAUACGCCGGGCGAACCUAGCGCAGGCGCUAUACGAGCUGCUUACCUUUUACCAUCCUCAGACCCCAUCUACACCCACCCAUUCUCACCUUCCUCUCUUCCUCUCUGCUUCCUAUUUCUGUCCUCCUCUACGUCGUUCCCUUGUAACCCUCGCGCUACCUGGUCAUCUUCUUCCUAUGUGACCCGAUGCUAUCUGCAAUGCUUUCUCUUCUCUUCAGUACCGAGACACCAUUUUUUUUUUCUUUUUUUUUUUUCAACCGUCCCAAGAUGGUGUGGGUACUCGUCGAGUAUAAUCUUCCUUUUUAAUUUGCUGUCUUUAAGUUUCUUCAUCUUCGUUUUUACUCCUCGAGACACCUCUUUUUUUCCUGCUUGAUCUUUUCGCGUCAGAGGUAAACGAGACACUUUCUUAUUACACUUCCCUUUUAAUUACCCUUCUAACCUGGACGCUCUCCCGAGUUUUCUAAUUACUCCGCGCGGAUGAAACGAAUUUCCUGUUUGACUUCUUGUCAAAUGUUUUCUAUAAUUUUGUGGGAAGAAUGAAAAAAAUAAAGAAUAAAUAAUAGAAAUUGAUUCGUUCCUUAACGCGUUCGCCGGCGCAGUAGAAAUGACCGUGUUUAGAACGACACGUGAUAAUAUAAGUAGAUCGAGUGCCGCAGGAGAAGCGGACGCUUGUAGUCAGGCAUAAUUAAUUUUUUAAUUAAAAUCUUGUCUAGUAUAAUAGGAACGUUGUCCAAAAUUUUUUCUAUUAUAUUGGAACCGCUGGUUAUUGGAGACACCCUAAUUUUAGGGGCUACUGAGGAACACGACGGCGUACGUUUUUUACACGAAUCUUUUCAAUCUUCUACAGUAUUCCCAAAGAGUGAGGAAAUCGGGGGAGAUUGCGCGUGUUCCUUGCGAAACGGAGCAUAAUGUUAUUCAAGCAUUCGGCUCGAACAUUCUAAAAAAAAAAGAAAUAAAAAUAAAUUUCGAAUCGAAUAAACCGUAUCUAAAAAUUCGCCAAAAGACAAUCGGUGCGCAUGCUGUAAGUUAAAUUGUAUCUUCGCACGUUUCAUGAAAUCACGGUCGCAUACGAAAGGAAAGAGAGAGAGAUAAGAUACAUGU
Non-coding RNA from Osmia lignaria (orchard mason bee), 5846 nucleotides. Lineage: Eukaryota; Metazoa; Arthropoda; Insecta; Hymenoptera; Megachilidae. The record is from RefSeq and is a predicted model, not a curated record.